GAUGAACGCUGGCGGCGUGCCUAAUACAUGCAAGUCGAGCGAACGGACGAGAAGCUUGCUUCUCUGAUGUUAGCGGCGGACGGGUGAGUAACACGUGGAUAACCUACCUAUAAGACUGGGAUAACUUCGGGAAACCGUAGCUAAUACCGGAUAAUAUUUUGAACCGCAUGGUUCAAAAGUGAAAGACGGUCUUGCUGUCACUUAUAGAUGGAUCCGCGCUGCAUUAGCUAGUUGGUAAGGUAACGGCUUACCAAGGCAACGAUGCAUAGCCGACCUGAGAGGGUGAUCGGCCACACUGGAACUGAGACACGGUCCAGACUCCUACGGGAGGCAGCAGUAGGGAAUCUUCCGCAAUGGGCGAAAGCCUGACGGAGCAACGCUGCGUGAGUGAUGAAGGUCUUCGGAUCGUAAAACUCUGUUAUUAGGGAAGAACAUAUGUGUGAGUAACUGUGCACAUCUUGACGGUACCUAAUCAGAAAGCCACGGCUAACUACGUG
This 497-nucleotide ribosomal RNA is filed under the name uncultured bacterium. RNAcentral's name for it is "partial 16S ribosomal RNA". It matches the Rfam family "Bacterial small subunit ribosomal RNA", at positions 28 to 507 of the family's 1533-position model. The record is from RNAcentral.